AGCGACAGGCUUAACACAUGCAAGUCGAGGGGUAACAGGGUAGCAAUACCGCUGACGACCGGCGCACGGGUGAGUAACGCGUAUGCAACCUGCCUAUAACUGUGGAAUAGCUCCCUGAAAGGGGAAUUAACACCGCAUAACACUAUUGAUUCGCAUGGAUUGGUAGUUAAAUGUAGCGAUACAGGUUAUAGAUGGGCAUGCGUGACAUUAGCUAGUUGGUGAGGUAACGGCUCACCAAGGCUACGAUGUCUAGGGGUUCUGAGAGGAAGGUCCCCCACACUGGUACUGAGACACGGACCAGACUCCUACGGGAGGCAGCAGUGAGGAAUAUUGGUCAAUGGGCGCAAGCCUGAACCAGCCAUGUCGCGUGCAGGAAGACUGCCCUAUGGGUUGUAAACUGCUUUUAUAGUAGAAGAAACACAUCUACGCGUAGAUGUCUGCCAGUAUACUAUGAAUAAGCAUCGGCUAACUCCGUG
Molecule: ribosomal RNA, 476 nt
Filed under: uncultured bacterium
Lineage: Bacteria
Description: bacterial SSU rRNA
Rfam family: Bacterial small subunit ribosomal RNA
Source: RNAcentral